This 253-nucleotide ribosomal RNA is filed under the name uncultured bacterium. Its description in RNAcentral is "partial 16S ribosomal RNA". It matches the Rfam family "Bacterial small subunit ribosomal RNA", at positions 825 to 1055 of the family's 1533-position model. The record is from RNAcentral.
GGCCCCACCAAGCACUCCACAGGAGUGCAGGGUGGGGUCCGUGCCGGAGCUAACGCGGUAAGUGCACCGCCUGGGGAGUAUGCCCGCAAGGGUGAAACUCAAAGGAAUUGACGGGGGCCCGCACAAGCGGUGGAGCAUGUGGUUUAAUUCGAUGGUACGCGAGGAACCUUACCAGGGUUUGACAUGUACCGGGAGUACGGUGAGAGCCGUGCGUCCCUUUGGGACUGGUACACAGGUGCUGCAUGGCCGUCGU